Molecule: long non-coding RNA, 397 nt
Organism: Etheostoma spectabile (orangethroat darter)
Lineage: Eukaryota; Metazoa; Chordata; Actinopteri; Perciformes; Percidae
Exons: 3
Source: RefSeq, a predicted model, not a curated record
UCCCGCAGCUGCACUUCCUGUCAUGUGAUCCGGCGGUGCGUCGACGUCACAGUGACGGCUGACCGGGCACGCAGGCACGCAGCGCUGUAUGUUGCAGAGUUUGAAGUCUAAACUAACUAACUAAUCAGCGGCAAUAAAAUGGAAAAGAUCCAUAACCGCAGCAGCAUUACCUGACGGACACCUCCAACAGGUCCAGUGGGAUUUCCCGGCGAGGAAAACCCCGCGAGAGAAGACGGCCGCUGCGCUGCUGCAACAAACAACCAGCACAAAUGUCUCGGAUUGAGGGUCGUCGGGAGUCUCUGCCUGCGGUACAACAGGCGGUGCGGCGGCGUUUCUCAGGGCCGCUGCUGCUGCCUCCUCUGUGGAGAAGGCACUCCUGCCAGGAGCACCCAUGUGA